RNAcentral lists this ribosomal RNA (253 nucleotides) under uncultured bacterium. RNAcentral's name for it is "partial 16S ribosomal RNA". It matches the Rfam family "Bacterial small subunit ribosomal RNA", at positions 524 to 776 of the family's 1533-position model. The record is from RNAcentral.
UACGUAGGCAGCGAGCGUUGUUCGGAAUUACUGGGCGUAAAGAGUGUGUAGGCGGUGCUCUAAGUUCGGUGUGAAAUCUCCCGGCUUAACUGGGAGGGUGCGCCGGAAACUGGAGUGCUCGAGCGUGGGAGAGGAAAGCGGAAUUCCUGGUGUAGCGGUGAAAUGCGUAGAUAUCGUCAGGAACGCCAAUGGUGAAGACAGGUGACUGGGCCGGUACUGACACUGAGGCACGAAAGCGUGGGGAGCGAACGGG